CAGUAGCCGCGGGAAUACGUAGGGUGCGAGCGUUAAUCGGAAUUACUGGGCGUAAAGCGUGCGCAGGCGGUUCGUUAAGACAGAUGUUAAAUCCCCGGGCUUAACCUGGGAACUGCGUUUGUGACUGGCGAGCUAGAGUAUGGCAGAGGGGGGUAGAAUUCCACGUGUAGCAGUGAAAUGCGUAGAGAUGUGGAGGAAUACCGAUGGCGAAGGCAGCCCCCUGGGCCAAUACUGACGCUCAUGCACGAAAGCGUGGGGAGCAAACAGGAUUAGAUACCCCCGUAGUCCCUGUCUCUUAUAA
RNAcentral lists this ribosomal RNA (301 nucleotides) under uncultured bacterium. RNAcentral describes it as "partial 16S ribosomal RNA". It matches the Rfam family "Bacterial small subunit ribosomal RNA", at positions 509 to 809 of the family's 1533-position model. The record is from RNAcentral.